UUUUAUUGGAUUCGAGUUCAAAGCUUUUCUGCAGAGCACACUAUGGAAAUUUUGCUUGCUUUGAUUUCAACAUUCACUGUCUCAAUUUUUGUAUUUGGCACUGCUCUUUUGUAAUGAUACAGUUUCGGUUAACCGAAAUCUUACCGAUUGCUAUUUUUCACUUAUCCAAUUGUAUGUUGCAAAUCGAUUAAUUGCAUAUUGCAGUGUGUGAUGAUAUGACGUACUUCUUAUAUCCUCUUUCUGGAUUCAUUUCAUUCAUGCCAAGCUCAGUGAUUCUUUAUUUCCUUAACUUGUACUACCUCACUCCCAUUUUUAUGUUAGAUGCUCAUUUUAUCUCAAUUGCUAUCACCCUAAUUGUUAUCAAUUUUAAAUCUCUCCUCCGUAUGAUUGACCCGUGAUUCCUUGGUCUUGUAUCUCAGUCAGCUGGUAGGCACACAAGCAUACAAAAACUUAUUUGGAUAAGGUGAAGUGAAGGAAUCCCACAUUGUCUCCUGCCCCUUCCCUCGAGGCUCUGAUUGGAAGCAAGAAUGGGUCUUCUCAGCAUAAUCCGGAAAAUUAAGCGCAAGGAAAAGGAGAUGCGGAUUCUCAUGGUUGGUCUUGAUAAUUCUGGAAAGACUACAAUAGUGAUGAAGAUUAAUGGCGAAGAUACUAGUGUAAUCAGCCCCACACUUGGGUUCAACAUCAAAACCAUGGUUUACCAAAAGUACACUUUGAACAUAUGGGAUGUGGGGGGGCAGAGAACCAUAAGGUCUUAUUGGAGAAACUAUUUCGAGCAAACUGAUGGGUUGGUCUGGGUGGUGGAUAGUUCGGAUCUGAGGAGGCUCGAUGAUUGCAAAUACGAGUUGGAUAAUAUUCUCAAAGAAGAGCGAUUAUCAGGAGCGUCGUUGUUGAUAUUUGCAAAUAAACAGGAUAUACAAGGUUCGCUGUCACCUGAUGAGAUAGCUAAAGUAAGGAAUUUGCAUCUGUUUGAAUUUUAAUCCAUUUGUCUUAAUUUUGAUGCUUUUUCAACCGAACCGAGUAUGUCUGCUUUUGGCACGAAAGGGGGCAUGGAUCUGAUAAUAUUUGUGGAAGAAUUCUUCUUACUUCUACUCCCUUAAGCAGUAAGUUUAAAGUGCUGGAAAAUUAAGGAGUGUUUUAUUUUCCUCAACACAGAUAUUCACAUUAGAUGUGAUUAUAUUUUGCAGGAUGAUCUUUUAUUCAGUGCUUUUUCCAUUAAAUGGUCUAUGCACAGUCAUUUUAGUCUGGUACAAGUAAUAGAUUUCAUUGCUUCAUUAAGGUUCUAAACUUAGACGCCAUGGAUAAAAACCGGCACUGGAAAAUUGUGGGAUGUAGUGCAUUUACCGGGGAAGGGCUGCUCGAAGGGUUUGAUUGGAUGGUUCAAGACAUAGCCUCGAGAAUUUACAUGCUUGAUUAAAGGC
This is an RNA transcript of Salvia splendens (bonfire salvia), 1418 nucleotides long. It is a transcript of the gene named ADP-ribosylation factor-like protein 2, with no coding region annotated. The record is from RefSeq and is a predicted model, not a curated record. The transcript is spliced from 5 exons. NCBI's taxonomy places the organism in Eukaryota, Viridiplantae, Streptophyta, Magnoliopsida, Lamiales, Lamiaceae.